AAAGAAUUCACCAAGAAGUUACCACGUUCCAAAGUAGUUCCUUCCAAACCUAAAAUUUGCUUAGCUUGUAUUUUUUUUCCUACCAAUUCCUUAGAUAUUAUACUUCAGCAACCAUUAUUCUUAAUGGUUUAUGAUCACUUAAACAUACUUUGGAGAAAGACCUGUUCAAAAGGCAGGUUGGUUCGGGUUCAUACCAGGCCUAAUCAGUCAGGGACCUUUUAACCUAAGCCUGGCCCCAGCCCAAUAUUUAAGCCAAUAUCUUUGGCCAAGCUUGGCCCAAUACAAUAAAAUAUAGGCAGGACAGGUUCUGCCCAGUUCCAAUAAGAAAAAAUUCAAUCAGGACAGGCAUUUCAGCUCAGAACAUAAUUAGAAAAAGCAAUUACCGUCGCCUUGGAGGAGGAGGAGAA
RNAcentral lists this unclassified non-coding RNA (407 nucleotides) under Hevea brasiliensis (rubber tree). Lineage: Eukaryota; Viridiplantae; Streptophyta; Magnoliopsida; Malpighiales; Euphorbiaceae. The record is from RNAcentral.